CCACGCGCCUCCGGCCUUUAAAACCUGAAAAUAUUAAAUAUGGGAUUACAAUACUGGGUACACUCAGUGUGGGAACAUGCAAUCAUUGUCCAAGUUAAUAAAACGGUAACACAUACGGCUAUUUCAUACAUAUCCUCAAUAUUCGCACUGUGGCAAUCUAAGGACUUUAAAGUCCUGGACCCUAUUUACGGGCCCCUGGCGACAUCCUCAAAAUAAUGGUUGCAACCAUGUAAUAUGUAAUCGCAUUGUGGCAUACCAAGGAUCUUUCCAUCCUGGACCGAUUCAGCCGGCACCUAGCGAUAAAUGUAAUUCACAACACAUAUGGUACACACAUUAUAUUAAAAUGGACAAGAAUUAACCACGAGCAUGUACUGAAAUAAAUCCCACACCUGAAUUUUGAACUUGAACUUGAACUUCAACUUGAAUGCUAACUUGAGUAAUUCAAUUAAAAUUUACGUCCUAGUCGCGCUGCACCUAGUCAGAUAAUUUAAAUAAUAACACAUAAGGGCCUAAAUAUAUUGAAAAUAUUAAAUUAAGAAAUUUGUAAACCAUAAAACCAUUUGAAAAAUAAUUGGUCUAAUAAAUAAUAAAAUAGCAUGCUUCUUAUGAGUCCAUGAAAAUUAAAAUCAGAGCCAAAUUACUUAAUUAAAUCCAGCCCACCAAUUUAAUCUAACUUAAAGCCAAAGCCCAAGCCCAUUUUCCUUUAUCCUAAUCUUAAAAAUCUCACACACACACCACUCUUCACAACCUCACGCAGCCCCCAGCCUCCCUUUCUCCCUCUCUCCCUCUCCUCUUCUCGGCCUCUUGCCGCCGUCGCCAGACGGCACGCCGCCGCCGGAGGCCAGCGGCUCCGCUUCCUCUCUCCUUCCCUUCGACCUCUCUCUGUCUUUCCUCAGCUCUUGUCUCCCUCUCACUCUCCCUCACUUCUCGUCCUUCUCCCUCAUCUCUCUUCCUCCUCCCCUGCCCUUGUCCUCGCCUCACCAGCCUCAGCUGCGCCCCUCUUCUCCGGCGACCCCUGCCGCCACCUUCUCCUGCCCGGCAUCGUCUUCACCGUCUAUUUCCCUCCUGGCCGACAGCAGCACCACCAUCGCCGCCCCCGCGUCGACAGCUGCGCUGCCCAGGCUCCUUCUCCGUCUGUCCGACCGACCAGCAUAGCAGCGUCCAAGACUACCGUACCGCUGCCCCUUCUUCCUUCCUCUGUCGGCCGCCGUGGCGCGCAGCGCCGGCGGCUCCAUUCUGCAGCCAACCCCCCCUUUUUACCUCUUUCUCCUAUUUUGAGUCUGUCUUCUUUUAUUCUAUUAUGCAGUGUAAUGGUUUUAUCAAAACAAAGCAAGAAUUCAUGGGGUUUGGUUUCUGAAAAUAAAUUUAAUAGUAUGCACUGUAUUGAAACUAUAUAGUUUUACAUAAAUAUUUAAAAUUACCAUUUGAAACUCUGUAGUGAGAAAUAGCAGAAAUAUGGGGAAGAUGCAGAGAAAUAGGAGAAUGAGUACUUUGGGAAGAGAAUCAGAUGGAAAAGUCGGUGACUUGCUUCUGAAUUGAGAGAUGAUAGAGUAGGGUUUAAAUAGUGUGAAUUUCGUGUGCUGCACGAAUUUAAAUCAGUGUUGCCCAAGAAUGAGAAGUUUAAACAAUUAGUACUUGUUCUUCAAGAGUUUGAAAGUAAAAUAU
RNAcentral lists this long non-coding RNA (1665 nucleotides) under Salvia miltiorrhiza (redroot sage). RNAcentral's name for it is "long non-coding RNA (SMIL_LNC006933)". Lineage: Eukaryota; Viridiplantae; Streptophyta; Magnoliopsida; Lamiales; Lamiaceae. The record is from RNAcentral.